GGCGCCUGACCCAGAGCACCAGAGCCGGACCCUGGGACUUGCCCUGCUCUUCUCUCUCUCUCUCUCUGCCUGUCUCUCUCUCUUUCUCUGUCUCUCUCUCUCUCUGCCCCACAUUCACCCAAUCACCAGAUCCUAGGGAGUCCACCCUCCUAGACUCUGUUGUGUCUUCCGUCCCACAUCUUCACCGACUCCCGCCAGGUUCCGGUUGUGCUGCCACUGCCGCGUCACCAGCCGUCCUGCCUCUCUGGUCCCUCCUCACCCAAACUCUGCUGGAAGGUGCUGUUCAACAUGACCAAGAUGCCAUCGCAGAAGAACUCUUGUCACAGUGGAUUCCUACCCAAAUUUACCGCCAGGAAAAAGUUAUUGGUUUUCGGGGUUUUUUUUGGUCUUGAGGGGAAGUUCUGAGGCGGCUGCUUGCUGCUGGCGGGAAGAAGAAAGCAGAGGACCUGCUGGAAUUGGGUUACGCAUGCGGCUGUCUCCCUGCACGCGGCAGCCGCACGCGCGGCGUCCGUGGACCCUGUAGCUCCCUUGGUGUCUUGGGAGGAACUUGUGGCGUUUUGCACCCACACCAGCCCUGCUCCCUGGAAGAGGAGGCGGAGCUGUGGUGAGGUUCCCAGGCCGCUGAACGGGGGGAGCACAGAGCCUCGCCCUGUGGAGGCCCAGCCUGUGCUGGGUACCAAGAGACGAGCGAUGGAUGGACACGGACGCCCAUGUCCACGUGGGCGGUAGCUGGCGGGGAGGGGGACCUGGCUUGCACAGCGCAUCCCUGGGUGCCGUGCUGGUGCAGCCCCUCCCAGGGUGCCCAGCCGCCCAAAGCCCAGGUCCUCACCUCCUCAUGGCGGGAGAGCGGGUCUCUGGGGAUGAGGGGACCCUCACAUUAGGCGGACACGCGGAGCGAUCGGCCACCGGUGGAAAUGCGCCUCCCACCUUGACGCUGAGGCUGCUCGGUUCUCAGCCAGAGAGAGGCCGGGUCCCCACUAGUGCCCGGUCCUCUGCCGGUGUGGCUCUCAGCUCAGGUUGCUGCUGUCUGCCAAGCUGAGCCCAGAAGUGUGGACCCAAACUUGACGCCCCCUUUCCCUCGUUCUUCCCGUCUGCUCGGCUUCAACCACGGAUGGAUCCUGCCUCCCGUGCCUCCUGGGCUGGGGCUUCAUCACGACUCCACUUCCCCGUCUUCUUCACCCCUGUCCCGGGGCUGAGCCUGGGGCCUGGCACGUGGUCACCCAGAAAAGUGAAGAUCAACAGCCGCGGCUACCCAGCCCACGAUGGAAACCCCACUGAGGCCGAGUUCUCUGGAAGGGCCUCCGAGCGCCCCGCAGGCUGCACCCGGAGAUGCUGGAGACAUCUGUCACCCUCUGGCUUCCCAGAAAACCGAACAGCACAGGCCGUUUCCCGUGGGUCUGAGUGAAAUUGUCACUGUGGCUGCUUCCUCGCAUCCCCCUUUUAUCAGCGUCUUUGUAGCUUUAUCCCUCGUUUCUCUCUGUGAUUUCUGGACGAGGUGCCACUCAGCUGGUUGUAUGCUAAAGCUGCUUCCAACCCUUCCCCUUAGAGCUGUUAUGACGGGAUUAAGGGCUUUCUCUCCUUUCACACAAUCAUUCAUUAAAAUGCUUUUUUG
Equus caballus (horse) is the source of this 1612-nucleotide long non-coding RNA. The record is from Ensembl. Lineage: Eukaryota; Metazoa; Chordata; Mammalia; Perissodactyla; Equidae.